This 850-nucleotide long non-coding RNA is filed under the name Vulpes vulpes (red fox). Its description in RNAcentral is "lncRNA (ENSVVUG00000018610.1)". Lineage: Eukaryota; Metazoa; Chordata; Mammalia; Carnivora; Canidae. The record is from RNAcentral.
CAUUAACUUACAGGAUAAUUUGCUUUGCAGCAAUAUUAAUUGAUAAAAGUCCUGUAUUUAAAUUAACAAUUAACCUAGGCUAUUGGAUGAGACAGUUGAAUUUCAUCUUGUUGAAGUGACUUUCUCAGUGUCACCUAGCUAAAGAAUGGAAACAUUGAGGCUUAAAACCAUAUUUGUUUGAAUCCAUGUGUUUUGAUUUGUCCUUUACAGACCACUGACCACAAUCUGGCCCAUCAAGUGGUCCGAAGCGUGGCACAGAGUAUUGAGCCUUUGUGACAUCUUCCGUUAGUUGUGACAUCUGGAGCUCUCCCAUUGAACUCGAAGGCACACAGAACAUUGAAAAGAAUGAUAAUGAGAGAGACAACUACGAAUGGCUGUCGAGUCACAGAAGAAGUCAUGUGGAGUCAUGCUGAGGAGAAAUUCGAUGGACAUCAUAGGACACCCCCCCCAAAUGCCCAAGAUUGCUGGCAUCCCUAUCUCUGAAAGUAGAAGGAUGCAAAUGAACUAAAAAUUUAAAAAAAUGAUUGAAGUCUUAAGGUGGAGUAAGACUCACAUAUUCCUACCUCCUCCCACAUGUACAUCUUGUAAAUGAGCAAUGACAUCUCUACUGUGACAGAAGACAGAAUUUUUAUCUUUUGGAGAAAAAAAAUUAAAAGAUGUCAUAUUAAGGGAGAUGGUACCAUUCCAAAAACCAGAUGAUUAAAUGAAAGUUCCAAGAUGUGUAAAGAAUUUGAGUCCCCCCCAGUAACUGAUCCCAAGAUAAGGCAUUCACAUUAGUUUCUGUGAGGAAACUUCUAAGGAAAUCAUGUAUAAGUAAAGACCACAGAAUAAAGCUCCUCUUAUACACCCA